This 62-nucleotide transfer RNA is filed under the name Notodoris gardineri. RNAcentral describes it as "tRNA-Cys". Lineage: Eukaryota; Metazoa; Mollusca; Gastropoda; Nudibranchia; Polyceridae. The record is from RNAcentral.
CGCGUUAUAGUUUAAUAAAAUAGUAGAGUGCAAAUCUACAGUUGGGGGAACCCUAACGCAAA